Molecule: ribosomal RNA, 452 nt
Filed under: uncultured bacterium
Lineage: Bacteria
Description: bacterial SSU rRNA
Rfam family: Bacterial small subunit ribosomal RNA
Source: RNAcentral
ACUCCUACGGGAGGCAGCAGUGGGGAAUAUUGCACAAUGGGCGCAAGCCUGAUGCAGCAACGCCGUGUGAGUGAAGAAGGUUUUCGGAUCGUAAAACUCUGUCCUAAGGGAAGAAAAAAAUGACGGUACCUUAGGAGGAAGCCCCGGCUAACUACGUGCCAGCAGCCGCGGUAAUACGUAGGGGGCAAGCGUUAUCCGGAAUCACUGGGGCGUAAAGGGGUGCGUAGGCGGCUUAGCAAGCCAGGGGUGAAAGGCAUUGGCUCAACCAAUGUAAGCCUUUGGAACUGUUAAGCUUGAGUGCAGGAGAGGUAAGUGGAAUUCCUAGUGUAGAGGUGAAAUUCGUAGAUAUUAGGAGGAACACCAGUGGCGAAGGCGACUUACUGGACUGUAACUGACGCUGAUGCACGAAAGCGUGGGUAGCGAACAGGAUUAGAUACCCUGGUAGGUCAGUC